CGGGGUAGGAAGUAAUGUCGUGGAACUGCCUGAUGGAGGGGGAUAACUGCUGGAAACGGUAGCUAAUACCGCAUAACGUCGCAAGACCAAAGAGGGGGACCUUCGGGCCUCUUGCCAUCGGAUGUGCCCAGAUGGGAUUAGCUAGUAGGUGGGGUAACGGCUCACCUAGGCGACGAUCCCUAGCUGGUCUGAGAGGAUGCCAGCCACACUGGAACUGAGACACGGUCCAG
This 230-nucleotide ribosomal RNA is filed under the name uncultured bacterium. RNAcentral describes it as "partial 16S ribosomal RNA". It matches the Rfam family "Bacterial small subunit ribosomal RNA", at positions 106 to 334 of the family's 1533-position model. The record is from RNAcentral.